GACCGGUUGACGACGGCCAGCAGUCGAACAAUCGAAUCCACUCCGAACGGUUGGGUCCCUUUCUCACGCAUACCCCUGGCUUGGUUUCGGUUAUUUAUUCGUUUCAUGACGUAGAAAACAACGAGAGCUUACAUCACGGCGAAAGGAUUGGCUGCGAAAGGAUUAUACCCAUCGAAGCAGGGUUUUUUGUCGACCCUCUGGCUGAACGACGCAGGAGGUCAUCAGUGUCACCACUGGUAUUUCGCUUGGACGGAGAGGCUAAAGGGAGAAAGGGGUCGCUCGUAGUGCGAAGCUGUCCGUCGAGCGGUGAAAACUAACGAAAGGUAUCGAAAGAGUUUAGUCACAAUAUUCGGGCGAUUUUCAUUCGACGAAUUUCGACACACAUUAAUUUGGCCCGAAAAUGGAUAUUUUCCCACCGCAGGCUAGGCGAGACCCACUUCAAGAGGCAUCCACACCGUAUUGCCAUAUUCCGCAAUUGAAGACAGCAACACAAGCGGACAGUUUUCAACGAACCGUUUCGUCUGGGUGUGAUGAAUGUACACCGAAAUGUGCGGGUAAUCAAACAUUCGGAUUGCGGAAAUCGUGUGAACCUGUGAGUUCCAGGCCGGAAAAGGUGCUGAUGUUUUCGGGGGUUCAGCAGUAGCGGUGAUAAAGGACAUGUUCGGGAGACGAAUAUGUUAUAAGUUGUAAUAAUUUUUAUUUCUACAAAAAAUUCUUUCAUAGAGUAAGAUUUCAGUUGGAAUUUAUGAGUUAACCUUCACUCGUUAAUGUC
Long non-coding RNA from Wyeomyia smithii (pitcher-plant mosquito), 772 nucleotides. RefSeq lists it as uncharacterized. The record is from RefSeq and is a predicted model, not a curated record. NCBI's taxonomy places the organism in Eukaryota, Metazoa, Arthropoda, Insecta, Diptera, Culicidae. The transcript is spliced from 3 exons.